Molecule: long non-coding RNA, 399 nt
Filed under: Equus asinus (donkey)
Lineage: Eukaryota; Metazoa; Chordata; Mammalia; Perissodactyla; Equidae
Description: lncRNA (ENSEASG00005033679.1)
Source: RNAcentral
AUUUUGAUUGCUGCCAGCAACUGGAGCUCAUGGCUGUCUGGGAAGAAACUGAAUUUGAAAAGGUCUCUUAAAAGGGCUUGCAGGGAGCCAAGGGGAAUAAGUCUGGGAACCUGCAGCUGACAGGCGACAGCAACAUGAUUUCAACACGGAUGGGAGAAAGAGGCCCCCAGGUGUAAUGGGGAAGAACAAGAAACUACUGGAAAUUCUGCCCUGGAAGAAUCUGAUGUGAAACAAGAAUAUCCGGCCCUUUCUUUCUCUUUCUGUGAGUCCAGUGGACACACAGCGUUUGGAGCACAGGAGGAUGGAUGGGAAGAUGAGGAAACUGAGGCACAGAGCUAUAGAACCUCGGCAGAAGUCAGAGCUUAUGUUGACAAGAUCAUUUCCAACCCAACCAUCUCG